UAAUACGGGGGGAGCAAGCGUUGUUCGGAUUUACUGGGCGUAAAGGGCGCGUAGGCGGUUAUGACAAGUCGGUUGUGAAAUCUCCGGGCUUAACUCGGAAAGGUCAACCGAUACUGUCAGACUAGAGUGCGGAAGGGGCAACUGGAAUUCUCGGUGUAGCGGUGAAAUGCGUAGAUAUCGAGAGGAACACCUGCGGCGAAGGCGGGUUGCUGGGCCGACACUGACGCUGAGGCGCGAAAGCCAGGGGAGCGAACGGGAUUAGAUACCCCGGUAGUCCUGGCCUUAAACGAUGGAUGCUUGGUGUCUCGGGUUUAUAGUCCCGGGGUGCCGGCGCUAACGCGUUAAGCAUCCCGCCUGGGGAGUACGGUCGCAAGACUG
Molecule: ribosomal RNA, 378 nt
Filed under: uncultured bacterium
Lineage: Bacteria
Description: bacterial SSU rRNA
Rfam family: Bacterial small subunit ribosomal RNA
Source: RNAcentral